GACGAACGCUGGCGGCGUGCUUAACACAUGCAAGUCGAACGAUGAAGAAGAGAACCGAAGCUUCGGCCGAAGUUCACUUCGGAUUAGUGGCAGACGGGUGAGUAACGCGUGAGCAACCUACCUCUUACAAAGGGAUAGCCAUGGGAAACCGUGAUUAAUACCAUAUGACACAUUCAUAAGGCAUCUUAAGAAUGUUAAAGCUACGGCGGUAAGAGAUGGGCUCGCGUCCCAUUAGCUAGUUGGUGAGGUAACGGCCCACCAAGGCGACGAUGGGUAACCGGCCUGAGAGGGUGAACGGUCACAUUGGAACUGAGACACGGUCCAAACUCCUACGGGAGGCAGCAGUGGGGAAUAUUGCACAAUGGAGGAAACUCUGAUGCAGCGACGCCGCGUGAGCGAUGAAGGAAUUCGUUUCGUAAAGCUCUGUUCUAUGGGAAGAAAAGGACUGUACCAUAGGAGCAAGCCCCGGCUAAAUACGUGCCAGCAGCCGCGGUAAUACGUAUGGGGCGAGCGUUGUCCGGAAUUAUUGGGCGUAAAGGGUACGCAGGCGGUUUACCAAGUUGGAUGUGAAAUCUUGUAGCUCAACUACAAACGUGCAUCCAAAACUGGUUAACUUGAGUUAAGGAGAGGUAAGUGGAAUUCCUGGUGUAGCGGUGGAAUGCGUAGAUAUCAGGAGGAAUACCGGUGGCGAAGGCGACUUACUGGACUUAAACUGACGCUGAGGUACGAAAGCGUGGGGAGCAAACAGG
Molecule: ribosomal RNA, 749 nt
Filed under: uncultured Tissierellaceae bacterium
Lineage: Bacteria; Bacillati; Bacillota; Tissierellia; Tissierellales; Tissierellaceae
Description: bacterial SSU rRNA
Rfam family: Bacterial small subunit ribosomal RNA
Source: RNAcentral